AUGCAAGUCGAGCGACAGAUGAGAAGCUUGCUUCUCUGAUGUUAGCGGCGGACGGGUGAGUAACACGUGGGUAACCUACCUAUAAGACUGGGAUAACUCCGGGAAACCGGGGCUAAUACCGGAUAAUAUUUUGAACCGCAUGGUUCAAUAGUGAAAGACGGUUUCGGCUGUCACUUAUAGAUGGACCCGCGCCGUAUUAGCUAGUUGGUAAGGUAACGGCUUACCAAGGCGACGAUACGUAGCCGACCUGAGAGGGUGAUCGGCCACACUGGAACUGAGACACGGUCCAGACUCCUACGGGAGGCAGCAGUAGGGAAUCUUCCGCAAUGGGCGAAAGCCUGACGGAGCAACGCCGCGUGAGUGAUGAAGGUCUUCGGAUCGUAAAACUCUGUUGUUAGGGAAGAACAAAUUUGUUAGUAACUGAACAAGUCUUGACGGUACCUAACCAGAAAGCCACGGCUAACUACGUGCCAGCAGCCGCGGUAAUACGUAGGUGGCAAGCGUUAUCCGGAAUUAUUGGGCGUAAAGCGCGCGUAGGCGGUUUCUUAAGUCUGAUGUGAAAGCCCACGGCUCAACCGUGGAGGGUCAUUGGAAACUGGGAAACUUGAGUGCAGAAGAGGAGAGUGGAAUUCCAUGUGUAGCGGUGAAAUGCGCAGAGAUAUGGAGGAACACCAGUGGCGAA
RNAcentral lists this ribosomal RNA (682 nucleotides) under Mammaliicoccus sciuri. RNAcentral describes it as "bacterial SSU rRNA". It matches the Rfam family "Bacterial small subunit ribosomal RNA", at positions 55 to 719 of the family's 1533-position model. Lineage: Bacteria; Bacillati; Bacillota; Bacilli; Caryophanales; Staphylococcaceae. The record is from RNAcentral.